This 253-nucleotide ribosomal RNA is filed under the name uncultured bacterium. RNAcentral describes it as "partial 16S ribosomal RNA". It matches the Rfam family "Bacterial small subunit ribosomal RNA", at positions 524 to 776 of the family's 1533-position model. The record is from RNAcentral.
UACGAAGGGGGCUAGCGUUGUUCGGAAUUACUGGGCGUAAAGCGCACGUAGGCGGAUAUUUAAGUCAGGGGUGAAAUCCCAGAGCUCAACUCUGGAACUGCCUUUGAUACUGGGUAUCUGGAGUAUGGAAGAGGUGAGUGGAAUUCCGAGUGUAGAGGUGAAGUUCGUAGAUAUUCGGAGGAACACCAGUGGCGAAGGCGGCUCACUGGUCCAUUACUGACGCUGAGGUGCGAAAGCGUGGGGAGCAAACAGG